This 253-nucleotide ribosomal RNA is filed under the name uncultured bacterium. Its description in RNAcentral is "partial 16S ribosomal RNA". It matches the Rfam family "Bacterial small subunit ribosomal RNA", at positions 524 to 776 of the family's 1533-position model. The record is from RNAcentral.
UACAGAGGGUGCAAGCGUUGCUCGGAUUUACUGGGCGUAAAGCGUACGCAGACGGUAUGGCAGGUCGGGUGUGAAAGCCCAGGGCUCAACCCUGGAAAUGCACUCGAAACCGCCACACUUGAGUAUAGGAGAGGGAAGCGGAAUUCCUGGUGUAGAGGUGAAAUUCGUAGAUAUCAGGAGGAACACCGGUGGCGAAGGCGGCUUCCUGGCCUAUUACUGACGUUCAGGUACGAAAGCGUGGGUAGCAAACAGG